This is an RNA transcript of Hyalella azteca, 6050 nucleotides long. RefSeq lists it as uncharacterized. The transcript has 10 exons. The record is from RefSeq and is a predicted model, not a curated record. Lineage: Eukaryota; Metazoa; Arthropoda; Malacostraca; Amphipoda; Hyalellidae.
UGCCUUAAAUUGUUGAGCGUGAAGUAUAUUUUCAGUGUCACUUCUAUGUAGGACCGCAGAUAUAAUCGAAAAUUAAUAAAAAAAAUGUUUUGAGAUCAGUAAUAGAUCUUGGUUUGGAAUCUCGACCCUAGAAGAUAGAUUUUCGUUAUCUAAUGAUUUUAAGAUGGCGAGACCUGAAAUUCACGGUCUCGUGGUGGCGGUAAACGCCGAGCAAAAACCCACGUUGCACAGCAUCCUGAGCAUCCCCUCGACCAUGACGUCUACGUCUCGCGGGGGAGAUUACUACAGUAUUGUCAUGGUCGAUGUAUCAGGGUCCAUGAGUAACGUAUGGCCGGAGGUCAAAGAAAACUGGAACAGAAUAUUGGCUCCCUGCCUCAAUGGCACCACGGACAUUUUUACAUUUGGUACUGAAGUUCGCUUCCGAAGGAGUCAGCCCACCUUAGAGAACAGUGACUUUGACUGCUCUGCUACUAAUUUGACCGACGCACUGAAAAUGAUUAACCUGAAAAUUCACCAAAGCAAAGAGGCUAACUGUCGAGUUUUCCUGAUAACCGAUGGAGCCCACAAUUGCGAAGGGUCGCCGGCCAGUGAAAUAGACAAUUUGCGUGUACCUCCUGGUAAAACAGUUGAAGUAUAUUUGUUGGGGGUAGGUUAUUCCUUCCCAGUGCAGUACAGUGUUGACAUCCGGUCUAAACUACACAACGGGUCUGCUAGCUGUCCAACCCUAUUUUGGAGCCGCGAAAACCUGGAAAUGGCCAAAAAAAUGACAGAAAUUUCACAAGAAGUAACAAAAGGGUCGCUUAAAUUUAAGGUUUCUAUCCCGGGCAAAAUUAUACCGUUGAUUGAGGAAACAAAAGGCGAUGUCCGAUGUGGCGAGUUUCUUUACUAUGAAAUGGAGCCAGAGCAACUCAAGUCCAGCUUAAUAAUUACUGAACUCGAGUCCAAGAUUCCCAUAGAAGAUGUUGUGAAUCUUGCCGAUGCCAAGUUUCUGGUGAGCAAACUGUUCAAACAGUGGAAUGCUGUCAUCUUACAACGCCACAGAAACAAACUUGGCGUUCCUAAUGGCUUUUUUGAGAUGAUGCAGAGCAUCUUCGACCUCCAAAUACGAGAGAUUGACCCUCCUGCAAACUCGCAGCUAAAAGACCGUCUAGGCCGCAAGAAUAUAAAGCAAAUACAACUCGACUUCUCGACUCUGAUGAACCAAAGUCGGAGUAUUAUUUCCGUGGAAUCUAAGUAUAAGAAUGAGCUUGAGUUGGCUGAAGCCAUCCUCAAGUCGACUGUGCAGAGCCGUUACGAUGACAGGCUCCUCAAGAUCAAGGGUCACGGAGACUCGGAGUGGGAAAGUGAUACUCUCGAAAUGAAGAAAGUAUACGAGUCUCUAAGAAAGGAGAUCGAAGCUCUGCCUCAACCUGAACCUGAUGAUUGCUGCAGAGUAUUGAUGAAUUCCUUCAUUGGAGAUCUCAAAGAUCCCAAUUUCUUCGAUGUUUUAAAGGAAAACAAAAUGGAAUUCUUGACUACAAUGACGUUCACCGGAAUUCCAAUUUUGGCGCCAGUGAAGGACUCAGCCCAGAUCAAUCCAUGGACGAUGUAUAUAAAGAAUAUUUGCGUAAGCCCGUUUGAGAUAUUGUCUCAGCGGGUCAUUGAAUCUGCCUUGGCUGUCGAAGCUGCCAGCUCAAGUGACAAGGAAAUCCGGUUACAGAAAGACAACCCUAAUUCGGUGUGCAAUGCAAUCGUUCCUAUAAUACCCAAGGAACACUGCAAGACGCUGGAAAGGCUCGUCAGAACUAACGUUUUCUCCAUAGGAGCCACGUUCUGCAUCCUGAAAAACGCCCUCAUCGUCGAUCAUUCUUGUCAUUUGGCCGCUCUUGGUUGUGUGUGGUUGAAGACGAUACAAGAUUACCCAGCUGAAAAUCGCCCAGAGUUCAUCAAAAAAAGACUCUGCGAUGUCGAAGAAACGUCGAAAAUCUACUUGUCGCGUAAUACAAUCGUCAACUAUGUCUCCGCUUUGCAGAAGCAGCCUGCGUUAGCCCUCAUGACCGAGUCGGAAGCAUACCAAGGCAGCGUUCUCAGGUGCGAGUCGAUCGUGAAGCCAGCGUUCCUGACGGGCUUAGUGAAGGACCAGUUACGAGCUUCUGAAAAUACUAGUCUUCUGCUGAAGCUUAUCCUCGUCGAGUUUCUAGGCCGUUGUCUGACAUCUUACUCGUCCAAGUGCCCCUACAUGGACCUGACUACGUCGCUCACUGAUGAAACGCGAGAGACCAAGGUUGACGAGAUUUCCACCAUCCUUCUGGAGAAAGUUCAACUGAGUGGAGCUGAGCUGCUGGCGAAGUGCUAUGCGCGUCAGGACGUCGAGAAAUUCGCGCAGGAGAAGUUGGCUAACGCCCUUAAGGACGCCAUCGAGAACAACUCUUUGCUGCCUCAAGACCUCGAGCUCAACAUGAAUAAGAUUGAGCGACUUCGCCACAGUGGCAGCGCUGGCCACGUGGGCUGGCAAGGUCUCGUGGCGUGGGCCAACGAGCUGGCCUACGACCACAGCCCCGUGCCCCACGGUCCCCCUCCCCACGGACCCUCGCCUCUUUUCUCACGAGCACAAGUCGACGAAGCGUUCUCCGCUCCAAUGGUGUGCUCGUACGUGCACCACGCGCUCGAGUACCGGCAGUCGCGGGAGCGCAUGAAGAAGGAGCUCCUCGGCCCAGCGGAGGCACGUGACGCCAUCUUCACGAAACUCGCAAACGAACAAGACUAUUACCUCAAAAACGUACUCUUGCCUAAGUUACUGAAGAGCACAGUGCAGCGCUGGGAGGCUGAGUACGAUGAGGUGCACAAAGCUGUCGCCGUGCCCCUCAGUCGGCUGGAAAUUAUCCAGCGAGCUGUCGCUCUCGGUGUCAACGUCAACGAGCAGAAUUUCGACCAAAUCUACAAGUACCGAGAGAACGUGCGUAUGUGUCGCAACUGCUGCCAUGUGGAGAAAUGCCCUCACUUCCUGAAGCCGAACGCUCGCUUCAACUGCCACAUCGAGACCGAAAGGAAGCAAGCGGACUAUCCUCACACUCUCCACCUGUUGGUAUCGAGCGACUCUGCAGGAAAUCAAGACCAGCUGGUCGAGAAGAUCGCUAAUAGAUCAGCAGCGGGCACAAGGGCUCGUAAAAAACCACCACCGAUACCUUCAGACGACCUGAGUCUCCUAAAGUUACAAGUGGAGCAUCUGGCUCAGGCGUACAUCCGGUCGGCCGUGGUCGUCUGAACACGAUCAUGAUCCUGUGAGAGAGGCUUAAACAGAGUGGUUCCCAUCCGAGCACUUUUGUCUUUCAACCCUUGGCUUGGGAUGGAGUUGCAUGUCUAGACUAUCUUGAUACCUGGUAGUGGCUUGUUGAAUUUUCCAAGUACUGAGUUAACCUAACCUUGUACUAAUGAGAAUUAUGGAAGUUUUUAAUGGAAGUCCAAUUAUGUGCUUUUGUGCAUCAAUAUACGUUCCAUAUAUUCGUAGUUGAAAAUCUGUAUUGUUUAAAUUAGCAAUAUCUUUAAUUCUUCAUAGGCUUAUUUGUUCGAUUUCCUUAUUUUGUUGGGAUGUUUCAAGGCUUCGAAUAUUGGUUUGAUGGCAUAUUGUGAUGGAAAAAAUUUUGGCUGUGUUUAAUAAGUAUAUCUCUCCGUAGCUGAGAUAAAAAAAAUUUCCUCAUAUUUGAACCCAAGCCUGACACAUGCAAUUUAUUCAAGCAUCACAAGUGCAUAUCCUGUUUUUCAAGUACCACCCGCUUAGUGUGACGUUUGGCCUGCCUCUCGUGAUUAUUUUAGUUAAUAUCAUGCAUCCUAUGUUCGUGAAGAAUCUUCCCAUCUGUGUGGUUUUCAGCCCGCCUCCUUUGAUUAAUAUGGUUGAUGUGACACAUCCUGUGUUUGUCAAGAAUCGGCCCAGCUUGUGUGGUUUUCAGCCAAACGCCCUUGAUUAAUAUGGUUGAUAUGACAUCAGACACACCCUGUGUUUGUCAAGAACCGGCCCUGCUUGUGUGGCUCUCAGCCCCGACAGGCUGCAGCGAUGGAUGUGCACCUCCUCUUGCUGGAACAAUUCUCUCCGUUGGCCGCGCAUCAACGCUGGUCUUGUUUGCAACGCUCCAGAUGCAAGUUAUUCACAAGAAAAACUUAAGAAAAUAACGCAGUGUUGCAGGCUGCGGAGUUUUUCGAAUCCAUUUCGCAUUUUAGCAUGGCCUAAACUGCCAUUAGACGGCCUUUUAUCCACUCUGGUCUUAUUGCCAAAAACAAUCAACUUUCCACUACUGCGCUUUCCGGAUGCAAUGGUGCAGCGCCGGCAAUUUUAGGCCUCAAGUGUUUCCCAUGAGUUAUUGCCGUGUUCGUAUGUUAUAUUAAGUUGAGUUGUUUGCUGGUGUGUGUGUUGUUGUUUUGGUGUUUUGUUUCGUGUUGAUCUUGACGUUAGUGUUCAUGUCGGAAAUUAGGCUUAGAAGUUAUUUUGUAGAAUUGCUUGUUAUAGAACUCGUGCAGGACCAGUUAUUUUUUCCGCUAUAACUCAUUGCUACCUAAUUCUACACACUUGAAUGUUUAUUUCCAUUUUUUUCCGUUUUCCUCUUUCUUGAAUUCCUUAAUAGAAGAUGUUUUUGAUGUGUAUAUAUGUCAUCAACCUGCAAAUGCUUGUCAAAAGCUGACUAGUGGUGUAGACUACACGAGACCUGAUCAUAAUGUAAAGUCAUAUUUACAUGCGCAUAACUCAUCUUUGUUUUGUGAUUUUGAGUGAGAUGAUUAAACUACACGAUCCUUCUUUAACCUUACAGAAAUGGAUUAGAUUUAAUACAUUACUUCUCUUUAUUUUAGUUAUUAUUUCGCUUCCAUCUAGAAACUAUGUUUCCAUUCUUGCCCCUAAAGAUUUUUAUUUUGAGACAGAGGUUACAUUGAACUUGGAAUUGAAGAUAUUUGCUCUCGUCAUUUCAUCGUCUCUUAUGGCAAAACUAACUUCAAAUGAAUCCAUCCGCCUUAAUGCGCUGACUACGGUAACGGGAACCUCUGAACUUCCAGUGCUAACUGGGACAAUUCCAAACGAACUCUACUAUGUCUCUUUCAAUGCCCAAUAUAUAUAAUACCAAUUAAACAGCCUGUCUAAAUGAUUGAGUCACUGUAUCAAUCUUCAUCUUUCAUUUAGAUAUCUCAUCUCACGAAGUCACGCUGCUAUUGAAUAGUCGCUGCGAAGUCACGCUGCAUCGUGAGUAUAAUGAAUAAUCUCGCGAUUCACAUAAAACUUACUAAAUUUUCGUCUUAUAUCAACAAGUCUAUAGCCUGGUUUCCUAUAUACCUUGAAUCUAAGAACUCUUCAUUUGCGUUUUGCUUUUAUGAUUUUGAUAGAUAUAAUUAAUCUAGACUAGACUUGAUUCAUAUUUUAAACUUAAGGGAAGCUAGAGUAAACUUGGAUAUCUAACUUUCAACCAUUGAAUUCCAAUGGGCCUGUAUGGAAAAAUAGGCAAAUCUUAUUACGUUUUAGCUUAUCUUGAAUAAAUGUUAGAUAGAAGCAAUGGCUUGAUCUAAUUUUAAGUAUGCUUAGUUAUUUCCUCAACAAGUUCUAUAAGGAAAGUAUAGGAAAAAAAUUCGACUUGGCAUUAAACAAAUAACGUGCAUGUUGAGCGGACUUGCAUGAGCAGGACAAAGUUUUUGGCAACAUAAUGGCUGACCUCCGUUAUUCAAUGGAAGCAAAAUCUAAAACUUUGAUCUUCACUACUUUGGAAUAAUAGUUAAGUGAUGUCGACCGUUUUAAUGAGUAUUUUUGACGUUCUCAGUAGCAUUUUUUUGUAAUGGGUAAAGUGCGUCUGAAGUUUUCUAAUUUAAACAAUAUAUUGAAGUACUGCCGUGCUGCUAAUGUAUAGAAAAAAUACUAAUACUAAAAUUAUUCACAAUUCAAAAUAAUAGUGAUAAAAAUGUAAGGCUAAUAAUAACAAAUGAUUAUUAACAAUAACAUCUUAGAUAAUGAAAUGGGAACGAUGUUCAGUAACCAUAGACUGGAAAAGAGUGAUUUAUAGCUUUUUGUAUAGUGUCAAUAAAAAUAAGUGAAAGCGUUA